This 250-nucleotide ribosomal RNA is filed under the name uncultured bacterium. Its description in RNAcentral is "partial 16S ribosomal RNA". It matches the Rfam family "Bacterial small subunit ribosomal RNA", at positions 524 to 773 of the family's 1533-position model. The record is from RNAcentral.
UACGGAGGGUGCGAGCGUUGUCCGGAAUCACUGGGCGUAAAGGGCGCGUAGGUGGCUUGGUAAGCGUGUGGUGAAAGCUCGGGGCUCAACCCCGAGUCGGCCAUGCGAACUGCCGAGCUUGAGCACUGUAGAGGCAGACGGAAUUCCGGGUGUAGCGGUGGAAUGCGUAGAGAUCCGGAAGAACACCAGUGGCGAAGGCGGUCUGCUGGGCAGUUGCUGACACUGAGGCGCGACAGCGUGGGGAGCAAAC